AAAAAAAAAAAUUAUUUUUCACCAUAGGAUUUCUUUUUUCUUUGAACAAAGAAGGUGAUUUCAAGUGAGAAGGAAUUGAAUGUCAUCAGAGUGAGAGAUAAAAAGUGGACCGAGUGAGAAAACCCAACGAGUGAGGAGAAAGAAAUUCAUAAGGAGGGGGAGUGUGCAGUGCCACAUUGAGGAGAGAAAUUUUUUAAUUAUGUAAAAGCCAGCUUGGACGCACUAUGUCAGCAGUUCGCCAGAGUCAACAGAAUUUGGCCAGAAGGACAUAGUGGAGUAUCUAAUUAGAGUUGAAGGAUUUUUAAUAAGCAAAUUAAAGUUGAGGUACGGCAAUGAAACAACUUUCUUAGUUGAGGAGAACUAGGUGAAAUUUGCCCUAGUUGAGUGAUGUUAGGUGCUUGUUAGUCUGUUAACCUGUCUUGGCAUUCUACAUUUUCAAAGGAAUUGCAAUGCACUGGUUUGUUUGACUGAGGUUUGGGCUUUUAUCUUAAAAAUGUGUAAUAAUCGGUUUUUCCUUCAUUUGUGUCCCUUCUUUGGCAGUAAUAUUAUCCAACUACUAU
Molecule: unclassified non-coding RNA, 560 nt
Filed under: Hevea brasiliensis (rubber tree)
Lineage: Eukaryota; Viridiplantae; Streptophyta; Magnoliopsida; Malpighiales; Euphorbiaceae
Source: RNAcentral